This is a long non-coding RNA of Gossypium arboreum, 404 nucleotides long. RefSeq lists it as uncharacterized. Lineage: Eukaryota; Viridiplantae; Streptophyta; Magnoliopsida; Malvales; Malvaceae. The transcript is spliced from 3 exons. The record is from RefSeq and is a predicted model, not a curated record.
AAGAAUAAAAAGAAGGAAGGAAACAGAAUAGCAGGAAACGAAACAGAGAAGAAACAGGGGAGAAAGAAAGAAAGAAAAGAAAAAGGGAAAAUAAGGUUUUAAAGGUUCCAAGUUAAUUUGUCAAUGUGGUACCAGAAAUCUCGGCUAAGAAAGGACAAGACAAAGUCAACAGGAGUUAGCUCGAAAAUUACGGUUAAGUAAAGAUAGUAUGUUGAAUCAGCAUCUCAAGACGAUCCCGAAUUCAUUAAGGUAAAGUAUGUUGAGUAUUGAUAAUGGCAUGUACCCAGGAUGUUUAAUGAGAGUCAUUUAGGUUGUAAAAGUAUUGAUGAAAUGAGUAAAUUAUGGUUGGCAAUGGUAUGUAGUAUGAAUUUUGAAAUUUACUAAAAAUUCGUAGUGAUUCUAAA